UAGUCCACGCUGUAAACGAUGGUCACUAGAUGUCCGGUACUUCGGUACUGGGUGUCCAAGGGAAACCGAUAAGUGACCCACCUGGGGGAGUACGUCGGCAACGAUGAAACUCAAAGGAAUUGACGGGGGCCCGCACAAGCGGUGGAGCAUGUGGUUUAAUUCGAUGAUACGCGAGGAACCUUACCUGGGCUACAAUGCCUUUGACAGCUGGUGAAAGCCGGUUUUCCUUCGGGACAAAGUGCAAGGUGCUGCAUGGUUGUCGUCAGCUCGUGCCGUGAGGUGUUGGGUUAAGUCCCGCAACGAGUGCAACCCCUAUCCUUAGUUGCCAGCAAGUCAAGUUGGGGACUCUAAGGAGACUGCCUCCGCAAGGAGUGAGGAAGGCGGGGAUGACGUCAAAUCAUCAUGGCCCUUACGCCCAGGGCGACACACGUGCUACAAUGGACGGUACAGCGGGUAGCCAGCUUGCGAAAGUUAGCCAAUCUCUGAAAGCCGUUCUCAGUUCGGAUUGGAGU
This 512-nucleotide ribosomal RNA is filed under the name uncultured bacterium. RNAcentral describes it as "bacterial SSU rRNA". It matches the Rfam family "Bacterial small subunit ribosomal RNA", at positions 791 to 1304 of the family's 1533-position model. The record is from RNAcentral.